RNAcentral lists this ribosomal RNA (492 nucleotides) under uncultured bacterium. Its description in RNAcentral is "partial 16S ribosomal RNA". It matches the Rfam family "Bacterial small subunit ribosomal RNA", at positions 29 to 507 of the family's 1533-position model. The record is from RNAcentral.
AGUGAACGCUGGCGGUAGGCCUAACACAUGCAAGUCGAACGGCAGCACAGUAAGAGCUUGCUCUUACGGGUGGCGAGUGGCGGACGGGUGAGGAAUACAUCGGAAUCUACUUUUUCGUGGGGGCUAACGUAGGGAAACUUACGCUAAUACCGCAUACGACCUACGGGUGAAAGCAGGGGAUCUUCGGACCUUGCGCGAUUGAAUGAGCCGAUGUCGGAUUAGCUAGUUGGCGGGGUAAAGGCCCACCAAGGCGACGAUCCGUAGCUGGUCUGAGAGGAUGAUCGGCCACACUGGAACUGAGACACGGUCCAGACUCCUACGGGAGGCAGCAGUGGGGAAUAUUGGACAAUGGGCGCAAGCCUGAUCCAGCCAUAGCGCGUGGGUGAAGAAGGCCUUCGGGUUGUAAAGCCCUUUUGUUGGGAAAGAAAAGCAGCAGGUUAAUACCCCGCUGUUCUGACGGUACCCAAAGAAUAAGCACCGGCUAACUUCGUG